GGGUCAGGAGGUUCGUCGUGCCACCGGUACGUACUGGUCUCACUGAUUCCUCCUUCCUGAAGAACCGUAAUGCCAUUAAUUUGGUGUUGCGGGGAAACAGGACUGUUACUUUGAAAAAAUUAGAGUGUUUAAAGCAAGCUAACGCUUGAAUACAUUAGCAUGGAAUAAUGAAAUAGGACGAUCGAUCCUAUUUUGUUGGUUUCUAGGAUUGACGUA
Molecule: ribosomal RNA, 216 nt
Filed under: Glomeromycotina sp.
Lineage: Eukaryota; Fungi; Glomeromycota
Description: partial small subunit ribosomal RNA
Rfam family: Eukaryotic small subunit ribosomal RNA (bases 40-216)
Source: RNAcentral